AACGAACGCUGGCGGCAGGCCUCAAACAUGCAAGUCUAGGGGGUGUAGCAAUACAUCACCGGCGGACGGGUGCGUAACGCGUGGGAAUAUACCUAUCGAUUCGGAACAACUGAGGGAAACUUCAGCUAAUACCGAAUACGUCCUAACGGAGAAAGAUUUAUCGUCGAUAGAUUAGCCCGCGUUCGAUUAGCUAGUUGGUGGGGUAACGGCCCACCAAGGCGACGAUCGAUAGCUGUUCUGAGAGGAAGAUCAGCCACACUGGGACUGAGACACGGCCCAGACUCCUACGGGAGGCAGCAGUUGGGAAUCUUGGACAAUGGGGGAAACCCUGAUCCAGCCAUGCCGCGUGAGUGAUGAAGGCCUUCGGGUUGGUUAAAACUCUUUCGUCGCACGACGAUAAUGACGGUAGUGCGAGAAGAAGCUCCGGCUAACUCCGUGCCAGCAGCCGCGGUAAU
RNAcentral lists this ribosomal RNA (455 nucleotides) under uncultured bacterium. RNAcentral's name for it is "bacterial SSU rRNA". It matches the Rfam family "Bacterial small subunit ribosomal RNA", at positions 29 to 524 of the family's 1533-position model. The record is from RNAcentral.